This 26-nucleotide non-coding RNA is filed under the name Homo sapiens (human). Lineage: Eukaryota; Metazoa; Chordata; Mammalia; Primates; Hominidae. The record is from RNAcentral.
UGAGGCUGCAUAACUUGUUCGUGAAG